This 4953-nucleotide long non-coding RNA is filed under the name Gossypium raimondii (Peruvian cotton). RNAcentral's name for it is "long non-coding RNA (GRAI_LNC000524)". The record is from RNAcentral. Lineage: Eukaryota; Viridiplantae; Streptophyta; Magnoliopsida; Malvales; Malvaceae.
UUAAUAUUCAAAUUCUGUAACCUUUUACAAUAAACAAAUAAACUAUUUAUAAGCUACUUGGGUUAGCCGAAUGGUCAAAAGAUACAAGACUUAAGUAUUAAGAAAUUCGGCUAUAAAUUAAGUACAUGAACUUCCCUAGUGACUAUGUCUAUUUUCGGCUGUAGAGAAGAUUCAAUGGACAGCUUUAGAGCUUAGAAAAUGAACUUGGAACUUGGUGAAUGCAUGGGAGGCCAAUGGACAUGUCUAGGUUCGUCCUUGGUGUGAAUGUCCCCUCCAAUAGAUGCUUCUUGGCUAAAUAAUCAAAUAAGAAACCAAUAGCCAGCACACAAUGCAUGUAGGUAAGCAUUCAUGAACUCUCCCAUUCGAUGUAGCUAAAUAUGCAUGCACCUUCCAAUUCGUUGCACCAUAUUGUUCACGUAGGUAUAUUUGGCUCCAAUUCAUGAAUGUGGCUAAGAAUUAAUGUAGAUGCUGCUCCUUGGUCGAAUAGUUACUUUGGAAAGCUAUGGGACAACCGCCGUUCAUUGUAGGUGGUCAUUCAUGUAUCCGUCCGUACUUUGAAUCCAACCAUGUAUGAACCUCCCUCCAAAUGAACCUAGCUAUACAUGCACCAGGCCAUAAAUGAAAUUCCACAUGCGGUUGUACCUACAUAAAUAAUAAACACAUCAAACAUAUAAUAAAUAAAACUCAUAAUUAAUUAACUUAACUAGUGAUUAAUUCAACUAGCUCAAAAAUGACAAUUAACGUAUCAAGCUGAUUUAAGCUAGUAGAUUCGGUCAUGAGCUGUAGUAAAAUGAUUAAAAUAAAACUAAUGAUUAAUUAUUGAAAAGUAUAAAAAGAAAUGAGCUGAAUGUAAGUUCAAAUGAGCUCAACGAGUUGCAUUAAGUUCCAAUGAGCUGAUUGGAGCUAACAGCAAAUUGAGGAGCUGGAAAUGGGCUAAGGUUAGCUCGCACGAGAAUGUAUGGACUUGUUGGAAAGUUGAGCACAACUCCUUCUUCGUCUUUGAGUUGAUUCUCACUCCAAAAUUUAAUGAGUAAAGCCGAAACAGCUUCUUAGAAGAGCUUAGCUCGAGCUCUAGUCAUGGGCCCUUUUGGAAGCUCAAUUGGUGCUUGGCUAGUCUUCGGUAAGCUCCCUAUCAUGCUUAUAUCAGUAUGUGGGCAAUCCCUUAGUACAUGUAAACCAUCCUCAUCACCAUGGCCACACAGGAAGAAUGAUUUGUCUUGUCCAAUCCCCUUCCACACCCUUUCAUAAUUGGAUAAAAGUCUCUGUUUUAAAACCAACCAAAUAAACUACCUUACUCUCUAAGGUCUUGGGGUUUUCCAUAUGGUGUUCCAGAUCCCAUCCCUUGGGUUCCAAGACUCAUCCCUAAGCAUCUGAUAAGCACUUUUAACAAAAAAAAGACUUCUAACGUGGUAUGAUACUAGGAUAGAAAGUCUGGGCUAACUAAUUCCAUAAAGGGUAGAAUACUAAUGAUACAUCGGACAAUGUCCUUUGGUAACCAAACCCAAAAAAUUUCAAGGUUCCAUAUGCCAUUUCCAUUUAUCAUCUCAUGCAUUUUACAAUCAGGGUUAAUGUUCGUAUUUCCUGGAACAUGUCUACUCAAAGGACCCAUGUUAGGAAUCCAAACAUCAUCCUAACAGUCAACAAUAUGCCCAUUACCUAUUGACCAGAUUAUGUUAUCACACAUCAAAGGCCAUACUUUAGCAAUGGAUUUUCGCAUAAGGAACUUUUACUUCUGUUUAUCCAAAUCGGAAUGUCUUCUUUUAUUCUAUUCUUUACUUUGAAAACCUGCACCCAUAAGGCGUCAGUCUUAGUGAAAACAUUGUAACUUAGUUUCAUCAUGAAGGCUUUGUUUUGAUCACAAAAACGACGAAUUCCAAUACCUCCACAAUAUUUAGGUUGACAAAUUUUGUUCCACCUAACUAAAGCCAUUUCCUUUUACCUUUCGAUGCACCCCAAAUAAAUUGUCUUGCCAUUUCUUCAAUUGAAUCACAAAUACCUUUCGGAACCAUCAUAGACUGCAUAAGAUAGCUUAGAAUAAAAAGCAGAACUGAUUGUGCUAAAGUGACCCUCCCCGUAAAAGAGAGUUUUUUAGGAUCCCAACUAAAGAGUCAAUUUUGGACUCUUUCCACCAAGAAAUCCUGAGUACUCUUACUCUUUGGUGAAGAAAGGGAACCCCCAAAUAUUUUCCCAAUCUCACCUCGUAAAUCUUCCUUGACACUUGCGAAGUAAAAGAUGUUGGUUUUCCUAGCAUUGACAUUAUGGCUCGAAUGUUCACAAAAAUUACCCAAAAAGCCUUUAAGAAGACCACAAUGCUUCAAAUUCGCUUUGCUGAAAAUCACUAAAUCAUUUGCGAAGAAUAAUUCUAAUAGAUCAGGACCUCUACGCGAUAACCAAAUAGGGUUCUGCUCUCCUAAUGAGAUAAUCGAAUGAAAACGGUGCCCCAACCACUCUAUAAAUAAGACAAAUAGAUAUAAAAGAUAAGGGACAUCCUUGACGAAUACCCCUAACAGCCUUGAAUUUGGAAGUUGGGGCACCAUUCUACAAAACCUGCAAGGUAGAUGAUGAAAUAGCAUUCAUAAUAACAUGUGUUAAAAAAAAUAGGAAUACCUUCUACCUUGAGUAAUGCUUUUAUGAAAUCCCAACGAACUCUAUCCUAGGCUUUCUUCAAGUCAAUCUUGACGACUAUCAAUUGGGGAGUCUUCUUGGUUUUCAUGGAAUGCAAUACUUCUUGUGCAAUGUUCACGUUAUCAAUAAUACUUCUCCCUACUAUAAAUCUCGUUUGUUCUUGACUUAUAAUCUUUAGAAAAAUACUCCUGAAUUGGUUUCCAAUAACCUUCAUAACCAAUUUAUAAUGCACCGAACAAAUGCUAAUGGGUUUGAACUGCGUGAGAUGUUCAUGAUUAGGAAUUUUGGGAAUUAAGACAAAAAUGGUAUUGUUGAGCUCUGAUUUUAUAGUACCUCUUUCAAAGAUCUUCCUAACCCAAUUGCAAAUGGCUCCACCUAUAUUAUCCUAUUAGUUCUGAAAAAACAAGGCUUGGAAACCAUCACUUUCGAGCGUUUCAAUGGUGCCGUGUUGAAGAGAGUAGUCUUGAAUUCUUCAUUCAUGACAUUCCUUUCAAGAAAAUCAAUAUCUAUAUAACCAAGUUGCGAGAAAGCACUUACAGGCAGAUUACCUAUUAGGCCUGUUGCUUCUCCAUAAAGAUUCUAGAAGAAAUCGACUGCAUCUGAUUUAAGGGCUUCAGGAUCAAGAAUCCAUUCCCCAUUAGAAUUACACAAAGAUGUUAUUCUAUUAAAAUUUCUCCUCUAAACACACGCCUGUGAAAGUACUUAGUGUUUCGGUCCCCCAACUUCAACCACUCACAUUGUGACUUUUGCCUCCAGAGCAUCUCAUGAUGAAGGGUAUUUUCUAGUUCCUUUCGAACCUCCAAUUCACUUUGGACUAGAGAAUUAGAUCUAGAAACAUCCAUAGAAUGUUGUAUUUUUGAUAAAUUAUGAAACAAUUGCCUUUUAUGGUUAUUAAUAUGACUAUAAAUGCACUUGUUCCAAUAUUUGAGCUUAUUAGUAAAACCAACAACCAUGGUAUUCAUAUUCCCAUCAAAAUUCCAAUUAUCCCUUACGAAUUCUAAAAAAUUUGGAUGUUGUAACCACCUUUCUAAAAAUAAAAAAAAGGUCUUCCUUUUUUAAAAGAGGGCUCCUACUGUAACUUUAGGAGCAGUGGCCAAUAAUCCAAUUUAAUUCUUGGGAGGUGAGUAACAAAACAGUUGGGAAAGGUCUCCACCCAAGCUUCAUUCUCUAGUGCCUGAUCUAGCCUCUCAAAAGGUUACAUUGAUGCCAAGUGAAAGGGGGUCCUCUAAAUCCCAUGUCAUAGAGUUUGCCUUUAUCUAUAAAAUCACCAAAAAAAGAAAAGAACAUUUUCGUCCUCUCAUAUGACCGCCUUUUUUAUCAUUCGAAGAGAGAAUGGCGUUAAAAUCUCCAAUGGCCAACCAUGUAGAAUGCCUAAGCGGGAUAAACAGACUCAGAUCCCUCCAAAUAAAUUUCUUUUUUUGUCCAUCGAGACUUCCAUGCACAAAAGCAAUAAAGAUCAAAUGUGGUUGGAUAAUGGAGCAAAUGUGAACUAGGAUGAAUUGAGGAUGAUUUUUAAUCACUUUCAAAUCGAUAGAUUCUCUCAAUCCUAACCAAAUACCACUCGAAAAGCCAACCGCUUCCACUCGAUGAGAUUUUGCCAAAUCCAAACUAGCAAUGAUAGCGUUGGCUUUAACCCUACUAACUUUUAGCUCAAGAAGACUGACUAUGUCCGAUUGAUAUUGUUUACGGUACUCACGAAGUACUUGCGGGAAUUUUACAUUCGUACACCCUUGUACAUUCCAAGAUAAAAUAGAUAAAUCCAUAUUAAAAAGAAAAGAAAAAAAAACUUAUCUUACUAUCGACCAGAGGCAACAAUAUCUGGCUUCUCCCCCUCUUUUACUGACAUAUCCAUAGUAGAUUGCCUGCUUAAAUAUGAUGAAAUGAGUUCCGCUGUUGUCUUCAUCGAUUUAGCGAAAGAAACACAAGAACUACCAGAGGCCUUGAAUCGGUUACCCAAGCCCUUUAGAUUUUAUUUAUUUUCCACCCUCCUUUUGAACUAAGAGUUUUGACUUCGCUCUCCUUAAAUUUACUUAAAGGCAAUUGAUUUCUAGAAGUAGUUGAACUGCUCCCAACCGUCUUCCUAGAAAAAUUAUGUUGGGUGUUGUCCUUAAAGAUUACGGCGAUAUGAUUAUUGGCAUUCAAAAUACCCUCAUUCACUAUUACAUCUACCAUGGUCGCUUCCUCAAAAGUUGGGUUGAAAUGCAGUGAAUGCUUUUUUUUAAAUUGAUUUGAUUUUGAAAGAGCCAUGUCCACACCACCUGUAUAAAAAUCAGCUAAAACAAUAGAAGAAGAUGACAAGGGAACGAGUUUACCUGAAACAAAUGGUUG